UUAAGUGGAGAGUUUGAUCCUGGCUCAGAGCGAACGCUAGCGGCGCGCCUAACACAUGCAAGUCGAGCGAGAAAGAGGGGGCAACUCCUUGAGUAAAGCGGCGAACGGGUGAGUAAUGCAUGGGUAAUCUACCUAUAAGACUGGGAUAACCUUCCGAAAGGAGGGCUAAUACCGGAUAAGACCACAUGACUUUUGUUGUGGGGUUAAAGAUGGGGAUUCGCAAGAACCUAUCAUUUAUGGAUGAGCCCAUGUCCCAUCAGCUUGUUGGUAGGGUAAUGGCCUACCAAGGCUAAGACGGGUAGCUGGUCUGAGAGGACGAUCAGCCACACUGGCACUGAAACACGGGCCAGACUCCUACGGGAGGCAGCAGUGGGGAAUCUUGCGCAAUGGGCGAAAGCCUGACGCAGCGACGCCGCGUGAGGGAAGAAGGCCUUCGGGUCGUAAACCUCUGUCUAGGGGGAAGAAACUUCUGGAGGAUAAUAUCCUUCAGGAUUGACGGUACCUCUGGAGGAAGCAUCGGCUAACUACGUGCCAGCAGCCGCGGUAAUACGUAGGAUGCAAGCGUUGCUCGGAAUUAUUGGGCGUAAAGGGCGCGUAGGUGGUUCUGUAAGUCAGAUGUGAAAGCCCUCGGCUCAACUGAGGAAUUGCAUUUGAAACUGCAGGGCUUGAGUACGGGAGAGGGGGGUGGAAUUCCUGGUGUAGCGGUGAAAUGCGUAGAUAUCAGGAGGAACACCGGUGGCGAAGGCGACCCCCUGGACCGAUACUGACACUGAGGCGCGAAAGCGUGGG
This 789-nucleotide ribosomal RNA is filed under the name Deltaproteobacteria bacterium GWC2_42_51. Its description in RNAcentral is "bacterial SSU rRNA". It matches the Rfam family "Bacterial small subunit ribosomal RNA", at positions 1 to 765 of the family's 1533-position model. The record is from RNAcentral. Lineage: Bacteria; Deltaproteobacteria.